CGCAAGGGGAGUGGCAGACGGGUGAGUAACACGUGGGAACCUUCCCUAUAGUACGGAAUAGCCCAGGGAAACUUGGAGUAAUACCGUAUACGCCCGAAAGGGGAAAGAAAUUCGCUAUAGGAUGGGCCCGCGUAGGAUUAGCUAGUUGGUGAGGUAAUGGCUCACCAAGGCGACGAUCCUUAGCUGGUUUGAGAGAACGACCAGCCACACUGGGACUGAGACACGGCCCAGACUCCUACGGGAGGCAGCAGUGGGGAAUAUUGGACAAUGGGCGCAAGCCUGAUCCAGCCAUGCCGCGUGAGUGAUGAAGGCCUUAGGG
Molecule: ribosomal RNA, 319 nt
Filed under: uncultured bacterium
Lineage: Bacteria
Description: bacterial SSU rRNA
Rfam family: Bacterial small subunit ribosomal RNA
Source: RNAcentral